Molecule: long non-coding RNA, 166 nt
Organism: Coregonus clupeaformis (lake whitefish)
Lineage: Eukaryota; Metazoa; Chordata; Actinopteri; Salmoniformes; Salmonidae
Exons: 3
Source: RefSeq, a predicted model, not a curated record
GGGAAAGUCAAGCUGAAGAAAACUCGUCCCUCUCAGCACAGACAGAGUAAAAAGGACCAGGACGAAGAUAAUGCAUCUGAUACUGGCUCAGACUGGUCUGGAGGAGAUGUUACAACCAAAAAGGUCAAGGACAAGAGUAAUGGAAAGGCAAAUCAAAGGACACCCC